RNAcentral lists this ribosomal RNA (500 nucleotides) under uncultured bacterium. RNAcentral describes it as "bacterial SSU rRNA". It matches the Rfam family "Bacterial small subunit ribosomal RNA", at positions 28 to 513 of the family's 1533-position model. The record is from RNAcentral.
GAUGAACGCUAGCUACAGGCUUAACACAUGCAAGUCGAGGGGCAGCAUGUCGGUUGCUUGCAACCGAUGAUGGCGACCGGCGCACGGGUGAGUAACGCGUAUCCAACCUACCCUUGUCCAUCGGAUAACCCGUCGAAAGGCGGCCUAACACGAUAUGCGGUUCUCAGCAGGCAUCUAACGAGAACGAAAUGUGAAGGAGAAGGAUGGGGAUGCGUCUGAUUAGCUUGUUGGCGGGGUAACGGCCCACCAAGGCGACGAUCAGUAGGGGUUCUGAGAGGAAGGUCCCCCACAUUGGAACUGAGACACGGUCCAAAACUCCUACGGGAGGCAGCAGUGAGGAAUAUUGGUCAAUGGACGGGAGUCUGAACCAGCCAAGUAGCGUGCAGGACGACGGCCCUAUGGGGUUGUAAAACUGCUUUUUAUAGGGGGGAUAAAGUGUGCCACGUGUGGCAUAUUGCAGGUACCCUAUGAAUAAGGACCGGCUAAAUUCCGUGCCAGCA